Molecule: ribosomal RNA, 301 nt
Filed under: uncultured bacterium
Lineage: Bacteria
Description: partial 16S ribosomal RNA
Rfam family: Bacterial small subunit ribosomal RNA
Source: RNAcentral
CAGUAGCCGCGGGAAUACGAAGGGGGCUAGCGUUGUUCGGAAUCACUGGGCGUAAAGCGCACGUAGGCGGACUUUUAAGUCAGGGGUGAAAUCCCAAGGCUCAACCUUGGAACUGCCUUUGAUACUGGAAGUCUUGAGUUCGGGAGAGGUGAGUGGAACUGCGAGUGUAGAGGUGAAAUUCGUAGAUAUUCGCAAGAACACCAGUGGCGAAGGCGGCUCACUGGCCCGAUACUGACGCUGAGGUGCGAAAGCGUGGGGAGCAAACAGGAUUAGAUACCCCUGUAGUCCCUGUCUCUUAUAC